This 227-nucleotide ribosomal RNA is filed under the name Clostridioides difficile. Its description in RNAcentral is "partial 16S ribosomal RNA". It matches the Rfam family "Bacterial small subunit ribosomal RNA", at positions 945 to 1171 of the family's 1533-position model. Lineage: Bacteria; Bacillati; Bacillota; Clostridia; Peptostreptococcales; Peptostreptococcaceae. The record is from RNAcentral.
UUUAAUUCGAAGCAACGCGAAGAACCUUACCUAAGCUUGACAUCCCAAUGACAUCUCCUUAAUCGGAGAGUUCCCUUCGGGGACAUUGGUGACAGGUGGGGCAUGGUUGUCGUCAGCUCGUGUCGUGGGAUGUUGGGUUAAGUCCCGCAACGAGCGCAACCCUUGUCUUUAGUUGCCAUCAUUAAGUUGGGCACUCUAGAGAGACUGCCAGGGAUAACCUGGAGGAA